Molecule: long non-coding RNA, 737 nt
Filed under: Ricinus communis (castor bean)
Lineage: Eukaryota; Viridiplantae; Streptophyta; Magnoliopsida; Malpighiales; Euphorbiaceae
Description: long non-coding RNA (RCOM_LNC003734)
Source: RNAcentral
CAAGCUUGGGAAAGUGAGAAAAAAGGAAAAAGAGUAAGCAAAAUUUCCAAAUUCUCAAUAGUCAUAACUCAUUAACUUUCAAAAAGGAUUUUCUUUUUUUUUUUUUUUAAGAAAAAAGAAGAAGAAGAAAAAAAAAACAAUAUUAUAAAGUCAUUUUCAACCAUGGUUAUAUAACAAUGACUUCAUCUUUAGUUAAAUUAAAACCUUUCUCUUUCUCUCUCUAUAUGCAUGGUUGUAUAUUAGCUGUCACUUAUGAUCAAAAUAAAAAAUUUAAGAGUUUUGGGAUUUAGGAAUGUGUUGUUUUCUUAAAAAUAUUAAUUUAUUUUAUCAAAAUCAAAGCCCUUUAUAAAAACUCCUUUCAAUUGCCUUCUCAGCUCCUCUCUCUCUCUCUCUCUCUCUCUCUCUCCCUCCUACUCUUUCACACUCUCUUUUUCUUUCUUUCCUUCUUGCUUCAGUUUAGGACACCCAUCCCCGCCUCCUUACACGGCGGCGUCUCUGUACCCUUUUGAGAGAUUAAAGGCUUCAACUUUAUCAAAGUCUUAUAUUUGAAGUGAUUCUCUGUUUAACAUAAUAAGAGUUCAUUUAUUCAACGUAAAAAGCUUUCAACUUUGAAGACGCAACAACUGACAAAUUUUAGCAUAAAAGUUUCAGCUUUUUUCUAUACACAGGACAAAAAUAAAGAGAGAGGCUUUUGGGUUUUUCUCUGCUGACAAAAACUUCAAUUAAAGUCGUCUUGU